This 735-nucleotide ribosomal RNA is filed under the name uncultured Fusobacterium sp. RNAcentral's name for it is "bacterial SSU rRNA". It matches the Rfam family "Bacterial small subunit ribosomal RNA", at positions 28 to 776 of the family's 1533-position model. The record is from RNAcentral. Lineage: Bacteria; Fusobacteriati; Fusobacteriota; Fusobacteriia; Fusobacteriales; Fusobacteriaceae.
GAUGAACGCUGACAGAAUGCUUAACACAUGCAAGUCAACUUGAAUUUGGGUUUUUAACUUAGGUUUGGGUGGCGGACGGGUGAGUAACGCGUAAAGAACUUGCCUCACAGGUAGGGACAACAUUUGGAAACGAAUGCUAAUACCUAAUAUUAUGAUAAUAGGGCAUCCUAUAAUUAUGAAAGCUAUAAGCGCUGUGAGAGAGCUUUGCGUCCCAUUAGCUAGUUGGAGAGGUAACGGCUCACCAAGGCGAUGAUGGGUAGCCGGCCUGAGAGGGUGAUCGGCCACAAGGGGACUGAGACACGGCCCUUACUCCUACGGGAGGCAGCAGUGGGGAAUAUUGGACAAUGGACCAAGAGUCUGAUCCAGCAAUUCUGUGUGCACGAUGAAGUUUUUCGGAAUGUAAAGUGCUUUCAGUUGGGAAGAAAGAAAUGACGGUACCAACAGAAGAAGUGACGGCUAAAUACGUGCCAGCAGCCGCGGUAAUACGUAUGUCACGAGCGUUAUCCGGAUUUAUUGGGCGUAAAGCGCGUCUAGGUGGUUAUAUAAGUCUGAUGUGAAAAUGCAGGGCUCAACUCUGUAUUGCGUUGGAAACUGUAUAACUAGAGUACUGGAGAGGUAAGCGGAACUACAAGUGUAGAGGUGAAAUUCGUAGAUAUUUGUAGGAAUGCCGAUGGGGAAGCCAGCUUACUGGACAGAUACUGACGCUGAAGCGCGAAAGCGUGGGUAGCAAACAGG